UCCUCUGUAGUUCAGUCGGUAGAACGGCGGACUGUUAAUCCGUAUGUCACUGGUUCGAUUCCAGUCAGAGGAGCCA
Molecule: transfer RNA, 76 nt
Filed under: Escherichia coli
Lineage: Bacteria; Pseudomonadati; Pseudomonadota; Gammaproteobacteria; Enterobacterales; Enterobacteriaceae
Also listed under: 17 other names
Description: tRNA-Asn
Rfam family: tRNA
About the family: Transfer RNA (tRNA) molecules are approximately 80 nucleotides in length. Their secondary structure includes four short double-helical elements and three loops (D, anti-codon, and T loops).
Source: RNAcentral